GGCGAGUGAAGCGGCAAAAGCUCAAAUUUGAAAUCUAGCACCUUCGGUGUUCGAGUUGUAAUUUGAAGAUGGUAACCUUGGGUUUGGCUCUUGUCUAUGUUCCUUGGAACAGGACGUCAUAGAGGGUGAGAAUCCCGUCUGAUGAGAUGCCCAUUCCUAUGUAAGGUGCUAUCGAAGAGUCGAGUUGUUUGGGAAUGCAGCUCUAAGUGGGUGGUAAAUUCCAUCUAAAGCUAAAUAUUGGCGAGAGACCGAUAGCGAACAAGUACAGUGAUGGAAAGAUGAAAAGAACUUUGAAAAGAGAGUGAAAAAGUACGUGAAAUUGUUGAAAGGGAAGGGCAUUAGAUCAGACUUGGUGUUUUACGAUUAUCUUCUCUUCUUGAGUUGUGCACUCGUAUUUCACUGGGCCAGCAUCGAUUCGGAUGGCAAGAUAAUGGCAGUUGAAUGUGGCUUCACUUCGGUGGAGUGUUAUAGCUUCUGCUGAUAUUGCCUGUCUGGAUCGAGGGCUGCGUCUUUUGACUAGGAUGCUGGCGUAAUGAUCUAAUGCCGCCCGUCUUAAACCCCGGGACCAAU
This 570-nucleotide ribosomal RNA is filed under the name Hansenula anomala. RNAcentral's name for it is "LSU rRNA". It matches the Rfam family "Eukaryotic large subunit ribosomal RNA", at positions 88 to 664 of the family's 3401-position model. Lineage: Eukaryota; Fungi; Ascomycota; Saccharomycetes; Phaffomycetales; Wickerhamomycetaceae. The record is from RNAcentral.